GUUGAAAUGUAAAAUUGUUCUUUAGGUUUUUAACCCCUGAUGAGUUUGCAUCCUUGUCUCAAGAAUAUAUUACUGUAUUGUUUUCUUCAUUGCAUGUUGAUAUGUUAAAUAAUUUGAUAAUAUGUUGUACCUUUUCCCCCAGAGUUGGCAGGUCUGAUGCUGCUGCUGUCUAGCAUAAAAAUGCUUUCACUCGCUUUCUUUUUGUUUUUGGUGCCACAGUUAACUAGAAAUGGUUGAUGGUUGUAAAGUUAAAUGUCACCAUCCUUCCUUCAUCAUCUCAGAAAUGCUCCUCUGGCCUUUAAUCAGUGUGGGUUACAACUACAGCACGAGAUUUAUAAAGCUGCUGACCUCCACACAGGUUGAAAAGGUCAUGUUCACCUCAGGUUCUGAAUGAGCGGUGCUUCAGAUGUCGGACAGAAGCAGCAGAGAAAGACUGACUGCUCAGCUUGAGUCUCACUGCACGUGUAGUGGAGAACAAUCCAAAUGCCUGAAGAUGCCUUCAGACAGACAGAUCCGAGUCACGCCGUUGUUGUCUGCAGCGCCAAGAGAAAAGAGAGACUAUGAGUCCAGAUCACCUCAAACACACACACAGUCUCUGGUGCGUGGACUGUAAAUCUGUUUUUCUGCAUAUGUUGAUGUGAAAUAUGAUCAGUUCAGCUCCACUGUUACAUUUACACUUAUUCAUUUUAGCAGACGCUUUUAUCUAAAACAACUUACAAAUUAGGAACAUCACAAGUAUUUUGUGAGGCUGCAUGCAGAAUAGAAGAGAGAACAUUUUUUAACCUGCACAUUUUUGGUUUGCACUAAGUGUUUUUGUUAAUGGUUGUGGGUUGGUUAGUGAAGUGUUUUGUUUCUUGACUGUGAUGAUCUCAGUAGAUCAGCUGGAGAUUUGCGGCUUGUUUCAACAGCAAGGAACAGAGACGGUGAAGGUUCUGGAAAAUGACUUUAUACAUGAAUGCGAAGGAACCUCUGGGAGCCUCUUUACUGUAUCUUUCAGUAUUCAACACUUAAAAGAACAAAAAGAGCAUUUAUGACUCAUUCUGAACUUCCUGAUGUCACACAGAUGAACAUCAGCACAGAGUUACCGAGUUAUCAGAAUGCACUCUUUUCUAAAAAUAUCAUCCCUCAGCAUUUACUAUCAAGAGCUGCAUGUGCAGUCACAAACUUUACUUUUUCACCAUCAACACACACACUCACACACACACACACACACACAUACACACACACACACACACUCACACACACAUCUGCGCUGGAGCAGCACA
Molecule: long non-coding RNA, 1265 nt
Organism: Cyprinus carpio carpio
Lineage: Eukaryota; Metazoa; Chordata; Actinopteri; Cypriniformes; Cyprinidae
Source: Ensembl